GUAUAUUCUCUUUGUGAUGAUGUGUUAGAUACCAGAUUUUCUAUAUCAUUAAAUGUUAUGAUGCUUGAAAUGUGAACUAUUAGGUAUUGUCAAGCUGUAUAAUAUUGCUCUACAGUAAUUAUGCACUUGAAAAUAGUCUGUGUAGGGCUCCAACGUCCUGCUUAGAAAUAAGAUACAGUAAAAACGUAAAAUUGUGGUUAAUGUUAGAACCCAUGUUACUUUUAGGUUUGGGCAUUAGGGGUUGGGUUUAGGUGUUAGGUUAGGGUAAGGGUAAUGGUGAGGUGUAGGUUUAGAUUAUGUUUAGGCAUUGAGGUUAGGUCAUCAAUGUUACGUUUAGGGUUAGGUUUAGGUGUUAGGUUAGGGUAUGGGUAAUGGUGAGGUGUUAGGUUUAGAUUAUGUCAUCAAUGUUACGUUUAGGGUUAGGUUUAGGUGUUAGGUUAGGGUAUGGGUAAUGGUGAGGUGUUAGGUUUAGAUUAUGUCAUCAAUGUUACAUUUAGGGUUAGGUUUAGGUGUUUUUUUUUUUUCUGUUUGCCAGAAGGGUGGAAAAAACAGCGUGUGUCUAUGUGAGAGGGAGAAAGAGAAAAACAGAGUUUGUGUGCAAGCGUGUUUGUGUUUCUGUGAGUGUGUGUGUAGGAGUGUAAAACGGCACUGUUUGUUUGACUCCAGUGACUGAUAGUUACAAACUACAGCAGCCUGUUCACAUAAAAUAUUUCAUGGAUAAUUGAUGCACUUUGGACUUGAGAUGUGUCGCAAGUGGGUGUGUGUGUGUGUGUGUUUGUGUGUGUGUACAUGUGUGUGUGUGUGCAUGGCUGAUGGAGUUUGGACAAGACUUCUGGCAGACCACCAGGGAAAAUUAGCACAGCUCAACUCGUAGGCCUGGAAAUUCAACAUAUCAACCUGUAAGCUCAGUGCUCAGCUCCACUGCAAUAAACAGAGAUAUAAACAGUCAGCCACCCUCUCCCUUAUACAUAUACAGUAGUACACACUAGGGGAGCACGAUAUAUCGUUUCAGCAUCGAUAUAUGGAAAUAUUUUGGCUACAGACAGGAUGAUGCUGAUCAAAAAC
Esox lucius (northern pike) is the source of this 1065-nucleotide long non-coding RNA. NCBI's taxonomy places the organism in Eukaryota, Metazoa, Chordata, Actinopteri, Esociformes, Esocidae. The record is from Ensembl.